Dipodomys ordii (Ord's kangaroo rat) is the source of this 73-nucleotide non-coding RNA. The record is from Rfam. Lineage: Eukaryota; Metazoa; Chordata; Mammalia; Rodentia; Heteromyidae.
UGGGAGGUGGCUCAGUGGUAGAGUGCUUGCCUUGCAUGCAUGAGGCCUUGGGUUCGAUACCUCAGCACCACAU